RNAcentral lists this ribosomal RNA (425 nucleotides) under uncultured bacterium. RNAcentral's name for it is "partial 16S ribosomal RNA". It matches the Rfam family "Bacterial small subunit ribosomal RNA", at positions 354 to 796 of the family's 1533-position model. The record is from RNAcentral.
GUGGGGAAUCUUGCGCAAUGGGCGAAAGCCUGACGCAGCCAUGCCGCGUGAAUGAUGAAGGUCUUAGGAUUGUAAAAUUCUUUCACCGGGGACGAUAAUGACGGUACCCGGAGAAGAAGCCCCGGCUAACUUCGUGCCAGCAGCCGCGGUAAUACGAAGGGGGCUAGCGUUGCUCGGAAUUACUGGGCGUAAAGGGCGCGUAGGCGGACAGUUUAGUCAGAGGUGAAAGCUCAGGGCUCAACCUUGGAAUUGCCUUUGAUACUGGCUGUCUUGAGUACGGGAGAGGUGAGUGGAAAUCCGAGUGUAGAGGUGAAAUUCGUAGAUAUUCGGAAGAACACCAGUGGCGAAGGCGACUCACUGGCCCGUUACUGACGCUGAGGCGCGAAAGCGUGGGGAGCAAACAGGAUUAGAAACCCGGGUAGUCC